RNAcentral lists this ribosomal RNA (375 nucleotides) under uncultured Bacteroidales bacterium. RNAcentral describes it as "bacterial SSU rRNA". It matches the Rfam family "Bacterial small subunit ribosomal RNA", at positions 40 to 414 of the family's 1533-position model. Lineage: Bacteria; Pseudomonadati; Bacteroidota; Bacteroidia; Bacteroidales. The record is from RNAcentral.
CUACAGGCUUAACACAUGCAAGUCGAGGGGUAGCAGGGUAGCAAUACCGCUGACGACCGGCGCACGGGUGAGUAACACGUAUCCAACCUUCCCAUAACUCGGGGAUAGCCUUUCGAAAGAAAGAUUAAUACCCGAUAGUACUUUUUUAGGGCAUCUUAGAAAAGUUAAAGAUUUAUUGGUUAUGGAUGGGGAUGCGUUCCAUUAGAUAGUUGGUGAGGUAACGGCUCACCAAGUCUUCGAUGGAUAGGGGUUCUGAGAGGAAGGUCCCCCACAUUGGUACUGAGACACGGACCAAACUCCUACGGGAGGCAGCAGUGAGGAAUAUUGGUCAAUGGGCGAGAGCCUGAACCAGCCAAGUAGCGUGAAGGAUGACGG